ACUUACUUAUUAUAAAAAGUAAAUCUAAUUUCCAAUUAGAGAGUCCUUGAGGGAGUAAGUU
This 61-nucleotide transfer RNA is filed under the name Osculotes curta. RNAcentral describes it as "tRNA-Gly". The record is from RNAcentral. Lineage: Eukaryota; Metazoa; Arthropoda; Insecta; Psocodea; Philopteridae.